UUGGUGCUGCCCUCCCUUUUCUCUCUCUGUUUGGCGCAAUGCCUUUCCCCUCCUCUCUCUAGUAUCGCUUGUUCUUUCUCCUAUGGUGGCCGGCAAUGGUGGUCUAAGGGUCCUCCCUUAGUCACCAAUGAUGAUCAAUGGGGUGAGUUUUGUGAGAUUUUAAUUUGGAUCAGAGAUUGGGUGAUAAAAUUGGAAAGAAACAGAGAGAAAAUUGAGAUUUGGGUAUGUUCAAUUUGAGAGAAAAGUGUGAAAGAG
This 255-nucleotide unclassified non-coding RNA is filed under the name Hevea brasiliensis (rubber tree). Lineage: Eukaryota; Viridiplantae; Streptophyta; Magnoliopsida; Malpighiales; Euphorbiaceae. The record is from RNAcentral.